GCCGAUGUAGCUCAGUUGGUAGAGCGCCCGCCUUGUAAGCGGGUGGUCACGAGUUCGAGUCUCGUCAUCGGCU
This 73-nucleotide transfer RNA is filed under the name Pseudomonadota bacterium. RNAcentral describes it as "tRNA-Thr". It matches the Rfam family "tRNA". From Rfam's summary of the family: Transfer RNA (tRNA) molecules are approximately 80 nucleotides in length. Their secondary structure includes four short double-helical elements and three loops (D, anti-codon, and T loops). The record is from RNAcentral. RNAcentral also lists the same sequence under 1 other name. Lineage: Bacteria; Pseudomonadati; Pseudomonadota.